CCUGUCCCUAGAGAAGUUGCAGGUGUGGCUGCUGUGUCACGUGCGCAUCAGCAGGUGGCAGAGAGGAGAGAGGCUGUGUCUAAGCUCAGUGCUCUGACCUGUAAACAUCCUAAUGAUUAGUAGCCUGACAUU
Acomys russatus (golden spiny mouse) is the source of this 132-nucleotide small nucleolar RNA. RefSeq annotates it as small nucleolar RNA SNORA17. The record is from RefSeq and is a predicted model, not a curated record. Lineage: Eukaryota; Metazoa; Chordata; Mammalia; Rodentia; Muridae. The transcript has a single exon.